This 730-nucleotide ribosomal RNA is filed under the name uncultured eukaryote. RNAcentral's name for it is "SSU rRNA". It matches the Rfam family "Eukaryotic small subunit ribosomal RNA", at positions 670 to 1426 of the family's 1831-position model. The record is from RNAcentral.
CGGGUGCACUGAUCCAGCCGGGCCUUUCCCUCUGUGGAACCCCAUGGCCUUCACUGGCUGUGGUGGGGAAACAGGACUUUUACUUUGAAAAAAUUAGAGUGCUCCAGGCAGGCCUAUGCUCGAAUACAUUAGCAUGGAAUAAUAGAAUAGGACGUGUGGUUCUAUUUUGUUGGUUUCUAGGACCGCCGUAAUGAUUAAUAGGGACAGUCGGGGGCAUCAGUAUUCAAUUGUCAGAGGUGAAAUUCUUGGAUCUAUUGAAGACUAACUACUGCGAAAGCAUUUGCCAAGGAUGUUUUCAUUGAUAAGGAACGAAAGUUAGGGGAUCGAAGACGAUCAGAUACCGUCGUAGUCUUAACUAUAAACUAUGCCGACUAGGGAUCGGACGAUGUUAUUCUUUGACGCGUUCGGCACCUUUCGAGAAAUCAAAGUGCUUGGGCUCCAGGGGGAGUAUGGUCGCAAGGCUGAAACUUAAAGAAAUUGACGGAAGGGCACCACCAGGGGUGGAACCUGCGGCUUAAUUUGACUCAACACGGGGAAACUCACCAGGUCCAGACACAGUGAGGAUUGACAGAUUGAGAGCUCUUUCUUGAUUCUGUGGGUGGUGGUGCAUGGGCCGUUCUUAGUUGGUGGAGUGAUUUGUCUGCUUAAUUGCGAUAACGAACGAGACCUUAACCUGCUAAAUAGCCCGUACUGCUUUGGCAGUUCGCCGGCUUCUUAGAGGGACUAUCGG